RNAcentral lists this ribosomal RNA (233 nucleotides) under uncultured bacterium. Its description in RNAcentral is "partial 16S ribosomal RNA". It matches the Rfam family "Bacterial small subunit ribosomal RNA", at positions 1268 to 1500 of the family's 1533-position model. The record is from RNAcentral.
CGAAUCACAAAACUCGGUCUCAGUUCAGAUUGCAGGCUGCAACUCGCCUGCAUGAAGUUGGAAUUGCUAGUAAUCGCGAAUCAGAAUGUCGCGGUGAAUACGUUCCCGGGCCUUGUACACACCGCCCGUCACACCAUGAGAGUCGAUAACACCCGAAGCCUGUGAGCUAACCUUUUAGGAGGCAGCAGUCGAAGGUGGGGUUGAUGAUUGGGGUGAAGUCGUAACAAGGUAAC